UCUGGAGACAGGCGCCCCCUUGUGGUCGGUGUACAGGUGGUGCAUGGCGGUCGUCAGCUCGUGUCGUGAGAUGUUGGGUUAAUUCCCGCAACGAGCGCAACCCUUGUCCCGUGUUCCCAGCAGGCCCUUGUGGUGAUGGGGACUCACGGGAGACCGCCGGGGUCAACUCGGAGGAAGGUGGGGACGACGUCAAGUCAUCAUGCCCCUUAUGUCUUGGGCUGCACACGUGCUACAAUGGCCGGUACAAUGAGCUGCGAUACCGUGAGGUGGAGCGAAUCUCAAAAAGCCGGUCUCAGUUCGGAUUGGGGUCUGCAACUCGACCCCAUGAAGUCGGAGUCGCUAGUAAUCGCAGAUCAGCAUUGCUGCGGUGAAUACGUUCCCGGGCCUUGUACACACCGCCCGUCACGUCACGAAAGUCGGUAACACCCGAAGCCGGUGGCCCAACCCCUUGUGGGAGGGAG
Molecule: ribosomal RNA, 461 nt
Filed under: Streptomyces sp.
Lineage: Bacteria; Bacillati; Actinomycetota; Actinomycetes; Kitasatosporales; Streptomycetaceae
Description: bacterial SSU rRNA
Rfam family: Bacterial small subunit ribosomal RNA
Source: RNAcentral